AGUGAACGCUGGCGGUAGGCCUAACACAUGCAAGUCGAACGGCAGCACAGUAAGAGCUUGCUCUUACGGGUGGCGAGUGGCGGACGGGUGAGGAAUACAUCGGAAUCUACUUUUUCGUGGGGGAUAACGUAGGGAAGCUUACGCUAUUACCGCAUACGACCUACGGGUGAAAGCAGGGGAUCUUCGGACCUUGCGCGAUUGAAUGAGCCGAUGUCGGAUUAGCUAGUUGGCGGGGUAAAGGCCCACCAAGGCGACGAUCCGUAGCUGGUCUGAGAGGAUGAUCAGCCACACUGGAACUGAGACACGGUCCAGACUCCUACGGGAGGCAGCAGUGGGGAAUAUUGGACAAUGGGCGCAAGCCUGAUCCAGCCAUACCGCGUGGGUGAAGAAGGCCUUCGGGUUGUAAAGCCCUUUUGUUGGGAAAGAAAAGCAGCAGGUUAAUACCCCGCUGUUCUGACGGUACCCAAAGAAUAAGCACCGGCUAACUUCGUG
This 492-nucleotide ribosomal RNA is filed under the name uncultured bacterium. RNAcentral describes it as "partial 16S ribosomal RNA". It matches the Rfam family "Bacterial small subunit ribosomal RNA", at positions 29 to 507 of the family's 1533-position model. The record is from RNAcentral.